CGACCUGGCGAGAAGUAAACACAGAUUGGGGGCGUUUGGAGGAACAAGCUGGUCAGGAAGAGUCUUCCAGUAUCCCAUCCUGCACCACGCCGAAAGGCAGGCGCGAGCAAAAGAUUCGACGGGAGGGAGCAAGAGCGGCCGUUGCCUCAGCAACCGUUGGUUAGCAACUGGCCCAGGGAACUGAGGUUUCAAGGCAGUACGUUACUACAAUGUCAUCUCCAAAAAUAGCUUCACUCUCUUGGGGUCGUAUAAAGGUCCAAGACACUACAUAUAAGGACUGCAAGGUGUGGCCAGGAGGAAGUCGUACCUGGGACUGGAGAGAAACAGGGACUGAUCAUUACCCUGGAGUGCAGGCAGCUGACCUGGAGGAAAUCAUUAACAAAGGUAUUGAGACGUUAGUUAUUGGUCGUGGAAUGAGCGAGGCUUUACAGGUUCCCUCCAGAACGCUAGAGUAUCUUAAGAACAAGGGGGUUGAGGUGAAAGUCCUUCAAACAGAGGCAGCUGUGCGAGAGUACAACUUGUUGGCUGGUCGCGGUGCACGAGUAGGAGGCGUCUUCCACUCCACUUGCUGAAACAACAAAUCAAGCAAUGCCAGGCACCCUGACAACACUUUGACCACUGUGUGACCAUCCCUUGGUUUCACAACUUGAAAGGUGGUCUCUGUGAUUAUUUGCUUUGUGGAAUGCGGUUUGAAUUACUUAAAGAGGAGGAGAAAAGGCUUUAAUGGGAAGAAAAUCUGCCCUCUUUACCCGGUCUGGCUCUACACAUGGCUGCAGACCCACAGCAACUUGACUCGUAACCGACCUCUGAAGUAACUGAGCAAGCCCUCAGUGAACACUGCCCUUGCCAGUGACAUCCACUUUCUAUGAAAGAUCAAAGGAAAAAAAGAUUCAUCUAAAACAUUGUGAAUAAAACUGGACACAAUCAAGUGGAGAUGCAAUACAAAUAAGAAAGUGUCUGUUGCAUUUUAUGAGCCCUGUCUGAUUUUUAAUUCCAAUAACUUCAGUAGAACUCUGAUUCUUUUGAAUAGUGAUUCCAUCUCCUCCCCAUGUCCAAUUUCAACCCCAUCAUCUGGUUCUUACCAAGUUGCUGUUUGUGAUACUUUGCUGUGUUCAAAUUGGCUGCUGCAUUUCAAAAUUAAUUGACAGUAAAGCAAUUUAGGACAUCUUGAGCUAGUGAAAGGGGCUAUGUAAAUACACAUUCUUGAAAUUAAGAUCAGCAAGAUGAUUUGUUUAAUUUCAGAUAAUAGCCUGUGCCGUAACAGUCCUGGUGAUGGACUCAAGCCAGGAAAGUCCCCAUUUAAAUGAAUUAGCUGUUCAGCACAAGAUGCUUUCGUCUGUCUUCAGGAACCAAGGACUAUGGAGAGGCAGAAAAUCAAUCAGAGACUUGUCACCUGAUAGAGAUCCAGUGUUCACCUACUGGAAAGGUAUUCGUGUAUUGCAUAAGGUCAGGUCAGGACUGGACUGUAUCAUUUGCCCACAUGAUUGCUUGUCACUGAGCUAUUCACGGUUCAGGCCUUCAUCUGGGAGAGAUAAUAGAAAAUCCAUGUACCAAUUGAACUAUGUUCUAACAUAUGGCUAUAGUUUGAAGAAAAGGAUAAUAUUGUAGGAGGAAGAGGAGAAAUUGAUGGACAUGGUACAAGAGAAGUGCAGAAUUUUUCUUAAUGUCAGGAGCAGUACUUUUCUCUUUGAAUGCAUAGCCCAACCUGGUACUUCCAGCGCAGAAUGGAGGUAGUGAUGCACUGUCAGAGGUGCCAUUGUUUGGAUGAGAUAUAAGACUAAGGCUCCAUCUGCCCUUCUGGGUGGAUGUAAAGAAUCUCAUGGGAACCUUUUAGGAAAUGCAGAGUUUCCCCGAUAUACAAGCUAACAUAUCCUUUAAUAUUUUCCGGACAUUUAUGGCAUUAGUAUUUCUGGGUGCUUGGUAUGUGCAGAUUGGCUUCCACAUUUCUGGCAUGUGCUUAUGAACAAAAACUUAAUUGGCUGGAAAGUGAUUUGAAACCAGGGAGCUGGAAGUGCAAUAUCAAAUGCAGGGUCUUAUUUUCCUGAUAUGCCUUGUUUUUACUUCUUCCCUCAGAUGGUCACCUUCCCUCUGAUAAGUUUUAGUUUUAAUUUUAAUGGAGUAAUGGUCCCAGAUUCAUAAAUAUACAGCGCAAACAAGCCCAUUGACCCUCUCCCAGCUUUCUGUGGAAGAGAUACCAAGCAAUUGACUACUUGCAUCUAAUGCUUUAAGCCCUUAUUCAUACUGAUGCAUGCAAAAAUAUGUUGAUAGAAUGUUUUGUUGAGCAAGUAUAAAUGUAUUUAUGAAUUGACAGAUAAUUAAUAAAGCUAUAGU
RNA transcript from Rhincodon typus (whale shark), 2331 nucleotides. It is a transcript of the gene named adipogenesis associated, Mth938 domain containing, with no coding region annotated. The transcript is spliced from 5 exons. Lineage: Eukaryota; Metazoa; Chordata; Chondrichthyes; Orectolobiformes; Rhincodontidae. The record is from RefSeq and is a predicted model, not a curated record.